UAUAAUUUAAAGUAGGGCCUGCCCACUGAGUAUUUUGAAGGGCCGCAGUAUUUUGACUGUGCAAAGGUAGCAUAAUCAUUAGUUUUUUAAUUGAAAGCUUGUAUGAAUGGUUUGAUGAAAAAAUGACUUUCUUUACUUUAACUUUUAAAAACUUUAUUUUUAAGUUAAAAAGCUUAAAUUUUUUUAAUAGACGAGAAGACCCUAUAGAGUUUUAUUUAUUUAAAUUUUUAAAUUUUUAGAAUUUAAUAAUUUUUAAUUUUAAAUAAAUUUGGUUGGGGUGAUUAAAAAAUUUAAUAAACUUUUUUUAUAUAAUAACAUUAAUUUAUG
RNAcentral lists this ribosomal RNA (327 nucleotides) under Oenopia conglobata. RNAcentral describes it as "partial 16S ribosomal RNA". Lineage: Eukaryota; Metazoa; Arthropoda; Insecta; Coleoptera; Coccinellidae. The record is from RNAcentral.